AACGAACGCUGGCGGCGUGGAUUAGGCAUGCAAGUCGAACGUGAAAGGAGGGGCAACCCUCCGAGUAGAGUGGCGAACGGGUGAGUAUCGCGUGGGCAAUCUGCCCUGGAGUGGGGAAUAACCAUCCUAACGGGUGGCUAAUUCCGCAUGUGACCGUUGGGGGGCAUCUCCUGGCGAUUAAAGGUGGGGAUCCGUUCGGACCUGCCGCUUGAGGAGGAGCCCGCGUCCCAUUAGCUUGUUGGCGGGGUAACGGCCCACCAAGGCUACGAUGGGUAGCCGAUCUGAGAGGAUGACCGGCCACACUGGGACUGAGAUACGGCCCAGACUCCUACGGGAGGCAGCAGUCGAGAGGCUUCGGCAAUGGGGGAAACCCUGACCGAGCGACGCCGCGUGGGGGAUGAAGGCUCUUGGGUCGUAAACCCCUGUCAAGCGGGACGAAAUGCUCUGAGGUGAUAAACCGAGGGGCUUGACGGUACCGCCAGAGGAAGCUCCGGCUAACUCCGUGCCAGCAGCCGCGGUAAUACGGGGGGAGCAAGCGUUGUUCGGAAUCACUGGGCGUAAAGGGCGUGUAGGCGGCCCUGCAAGUCGGAGGUGAAAUCCACUGGCUCAACCAGUGAAGUGCCUUCGAAACUGCUUGGCUUGAGUAUGGCAGAGGGAAGCGGAAUUCCAGGUGUAGCGGUGAAAUGCGUAGAUAUCUGGAAGAACACCGGUGGCGAAGGCGGCUUCCUGGGCCAAUACUGACGCUGAUGCGCGAAAGCCAGGGGAGCAAACGGGAUUAGAUACCCCGGUAGUCCUGGCCGUAAACGUUGGAUACUAGGUGUAGGAGGUAUCGACCCCUUCUGUGCCGCAGCUAACGCAUUAAGUAUCCCGCCUGGGGAGUACGACCGCAAGGUUGAAACUCAAAGGAAUUGACGGGGGCCCGCACAAGCGGUGGAGUAUGUGGUUUAAUUCGACGCAACGCGAAGAACCUUACCGGGGCUUGACAUGCACAGGACAGGCGUAGAAAUACGUCCUCCUUUCGGGGUCUGUGCACAGGUGCUGCAUGGCUGUCGUCAGCUCGUGUCGUGAGAUGUUGGGUUAAGUCCCGCAACGAGCGCAACCCUUGUCCUUAGUUGCCAUCAUUCAGUUGGGAACUCUAAGGAGACUGCCGGUGACAAACCGGAGGAAGGUGGGGAUGACGUCAAGUCCUCAUGGCCCUUACGCCCCGGGCUACACACGUGCUACAAUGGUCGGUACAGAGGGUUGCAAUGCCGCGAGGCGGAGCUAAUCCCAAAAAGCCGGCCUCAGUUGGGAUCGUAGUCUGCAACUCGACUACGUGAACGCGGAAUCGCUAGUAAUCGCGGAUCAGCACGCCGCGGUGAAUACGUUCCCGGGCCUUGUACACACCGCCCGUCAAGUCAGCCGAAUUGAGUGCUCCCUAAGACGCUGUACCAACCCGCAAGGGAGGGAGGCGCCCAAGGUGUGCUUGGUGAGGGGGACUAAGUCGUAACAAGGUAGCCGUAUCGGAAGGUGCGGCCGCUCAAC
Molecule: ribosomal RNA, 1524 nt
Filed under: uncultured prokaryote
Description: partial 16S ribosomal RNA
Rfam family: Bacterial small subunit ribosomal RNA
Source: RNAcentral